GACGAACGUUGGCGGCGUGCUUAAUACAUGCAAGUCAACUGAAGCAGAGGUAGUAAUAUCUCUGUGGAGGUGGCGCACGGGUGAGUAACACGUAGGUAAUCUGCCUUCAGGUCUGACAUAACCCCGAGAAAUCGGGGCUAAUAGCAGAUGAUGCAGCGGCUUGACAUCAAGACAGUUGUUAAAGCUUCGGCGCCUGAAGAUGAGCCUGCGUCUGAUUAGCUAGUUGGCGGAGUAACAGCCCACCAAGGCUACGAUCAGUAGCUGGUCUGAGAGGAUGAUCAGCCACACUGGAACUGAGACACGGUCCAGACUCC
RNAcentral lists this ribosomal RNA (314 nucleotides) under uncultured bacterium. RNAcentral describes it as "bacterial SSU rRNA". It matches the Rfam family "Bacterial small subunit ribosomal RNA", at positions 28 to 339 of the family's 1533-position model. The record is from RNAcentral.